This 77-nucleotide transfer RNA is filed under the name Yarrowia sp. B02. Its description in RNAcentral is "tRNA-Lys". It matches the Rfam family "tRNA". From Rfam's summary of the family: Transfer RNA (tRNA) molecules are approximately 80 nucleotides in length. The record is from RNAcentral. Lineage: Eukaryota; Fungi; Ascomycota; Dipodascomycetes; Dipodascales.
GCCUGGCUAGCUCAAUCGGUAGAGCGUGAGACUCUUAUCCAAUCUCAAGGCUGUGGGUUCAAGCCCCACGUCGGGCU